RNAcentral lists this ribosomal RNA (496 nucleotides) under uncultured bacterium. RNAcentral's name for it is "partial 16S ribosomal RNA". It matches the Rfam family "Bacterial small subunit ribosomal RNA", at positions 29 to 507 of the family's 1533-position model. The record is from RNAcentral.
AUGAACGCUGGCGGCGUGCCUAAUACCUGCAAGUCGCGCGAACAGACGAGGAGCUUGCUCCUUUGACGUUAGCGGCGGACGGGUGAGUAACACGUGGAUAACCUACCUAUAAGACUGGGAUAACUUCGGGAAACCGGAGCUAAUACCGGAUAACAUGUUGAACCGCAUGGUUCAACAGUGAAAGACGGUCUUGCUGUCACUUAUAGAUGGAUCCGCGCCGCAUUAGCUAGUUGGUAAGGUAACGGCUUACCAAGGCAACGAUGCGUAGCCGACCUGAGAGGGUGAUCGGCCACACUGGAACUGAGACACGGUCCAGACUCCUACGGGAGGCAGCAGUAGGGAAUCUUCCGCAAUGGGCGAAAGCCUGACGGAGCAACGCCGCGUGAGUGAAGAAGGUCUUCGGAUCGUAAAACUCUGUUAUUAGGGAAGAACAAAUGUGUAAGUAACUAUGCACGUCUUGACGGUACCUAAUCAGAAAGCCACGGCUAACUACGUG